Molecule: ribosomal RNA, 1565 nt
Filed under: human gut metagenome
Description: bacterial LSU rRNA
Rfam family: Bacterial large subunit ribosomal RNA
Source: RNAcentral
UGAGUCGACCCCUAAGGCGAGGCCGAAAGGCGUAGUCGAUGGGAAACAGGUUAAUAUUCCUGUACUUGGUGUUACUGCGAAGGGGGGACGGAGAAGGCUAUGUUGGCCGGGCGACGGUUGUCCCGGUUUAAGCGUGUAGGCUGGUUUUCCAGGCAAAUCCGGAAAACCAAGGCUGAGGCGUGAUGACGAGGCACUACGGUGCUGAAGCGACAAAUGCCCUGCUUCCAGGAAAAGCCUCUAAGCAUCAGGUAACAUCAAAUCGUACCCCAAACCGACACAGGUGGUCAGGUAGAGAAUACCAAGGCGCUUGAGAGAACUCGGGUGAAGGAACUAGGCAAAAUGGUGCCGUAACUUCGGGAGAAGGCACGCUGAUAUGUAGGUGAAGCGACUUGCUCGUGGAGCUGAAAUCAGUCGAAGAUACCAGCUGGCUGCAACUGUUUAUUAAAAACACAGCACUGUGCAAACACGAAAGUGGACGUAUACGGUGUGACGCCUGCCCGGUGCCGGAAGGUUAAUUGAUGGGGUUAGCGGUAACGCGAAGCUCUUGAUCGAAGCCCCGGUAAACGGCGGCCGUAACUAUAACGGUCCUAAGGUAGCGAAAUUCCUUGUCGGGUAAGUUCCGACCUGCACGAAUGGCGUAAUGAUGGCCAGGCUGUCUCCACCCGAGACUCAGUGAAAUUGAACUCGCUGUGAAGAUGCAGUGUACCCGCGGCAAGACGGAAAGACCCCGUGAACCUUUACUAUAGCUUGACACUGAACAUUGAGCCUUGAUGUGUAGGAUAGGUGGGAGGCUUUGAAGUGUGGACGCCAGUCUGCAUGGAGCCGACCUUGAAAUACCACCCUUUAAUGUUUGAUGUUCUAACGUUGGCCCGUAAUCCGGGUUGCGGACAGUGUCUGGUGGGUAGUUUGACUGGGGCGGUCUCCUCCUAAAGAGUAACGGAGGAGCACGAAGGUUGGCUAAUCCUGGUCGGACAUCAGGAGGUUAGUGCAAUGGCAUAAGCCAGCUUGACUGCGAGCGUGACGGCGCGAGCAGGUGCGAAAGCAGGUCAUAGUGAUCCGGUGGUUCUGAAUGGAAGGGCCAUCGCUCAACGGAUAAAAGGUACUCCGGGGAUAACAGGCUGAUACCGCCCAAGAGUUCAUAUCGACGGCGGUGUUUGGCACCUCGAUGUCGGCUCAUCACAUCCUGGGGCUGAAGUAGGUCCCAAGGGUAUGGCUGUUCGCCAUUUAAAGUGGUACGCGAGCUGGGUUUAGAACGUCGUGAGACAGUUCGGUCCCUAUCUGCCGUGGGCGCUGGAGAACUGAGGGGGGCUGCUCCUAGUACGAGAGGACCGGAGUGGACGCAUCACUGGUGUUCGGGUUGUCAUGCCAAUGGCACUGCCCGGUAGCUAAAUGCGGAAGAGAUAAGUGCUGAAAGCAUCUAAGCACGAAACUUGCCCCGAGAUGAGUUCUCCCUGACUCCUUGAGAGUCCUGAAGGAACGUUGAAGACGACGACGUUGAUAGGCCGGGUGUGUAAGCGCAGCGAUGCGUUGAGCUAACCGGUACUAAUGAACCGUGAGGCUUAACC